UACGAGUUGUGCAAACGUUAUUCGGAAUCACUGGGCUUAAAGGGUGCGUAGGCGGCUAUGAAAGUCAGAUGUGAAAUCCCUCGGCUCAACCGGGGAACUGCAUUUGAAACUGUAUAGCUUGAGGGAGACAGAGGUGAGCGGAACUGAUGGUGGAGCGGUGAAAUGCGUUGAUAUCAUCAGGAACACCGGUGGCGAAAGCGGCUCACUGGGUCUUAUCUGACGCUGAGGCACGAAAGCCAGGGGAGCAAACGGG
This 253-nucleotide ribosomal RNA is filed under the name uncultured bacterium. Its description in RNAcentral is "partial 16S ribosomal RNA". It matches the Rfam family "Bacterial small subunit ribosomal RNA", at positions 524 to 776 of the family's 1533-position model. The record is from RNAcentral.